Molecule: long non-coding RNA, 489 nt
Filed under: Homo sapiens (human)
Lineage: Eukaryota; Metazoa; Chordata; Mammalia; Primates; Hominidae
Description: HSALNT0224164
Source: RNAcentral
CAGACUGUGAAAGGGGCCAUGGAUGCAAACAGCUGGACCCUGUAUUUCCUCUGCCAUCCAGACUGACUUUCUUUGGGAAAAUAAGAAAUGUGAUAUGAAAUCCUGAGUCCCACCAAAAACAGUUCAUCUAAUUUCAGUGUGAUCAAAAUGGAGUAGCUAAAUUCAGUCUCCUUCAGCAUUCAGUGCAGGAUUUGAGCACCUGCUAUGAGUCAAGUGGAAACUAUGUCAGGAUGCCAAGGAUGAGGAGAGAAAUAGACAGAUUAUUAUAAUACAGUACAAUAACAGCUCUCAUUGUGUCUCUCUAGGGACAGUGGAGACAGAUGAAGGAAGGGCAGAAAAAGAAAAAUAUACUGUGGAAGAGCACUGGAGUUGGAUCAAUGGGAAUGUGUUGUAUGACCAAGAGUUGAAGAUGUUUCAAGGAGAGGCCCAGCAUAUACAAAGGCAUGGAAGUAUGAAAAUGCUGCUGCUUAUUGAUGAAGUGAAAAUAGG